GGAUUAUGUUCGCUUGUAUUUCAGACGAUUUUGCUUUGUCCCUUCCUCUUCAAACUGGAUCUUCUUACAGCGUUCUUUCCUACCCUGAGAGUCACAAGAUCUUUGCCGAAUUCUUCGUAUAUAACACUGGUGUAAGAUGGACGCAGCAUAAGAAUAACAGGCAUACUUUUUUACCUGAUAGGUUAAAUAUUGCUCACCCGCUCCUUCUUAGCCUUGAAGAAUUACAAGAAAUAUCUUCUAGUUCCACAAUAACUGCAAACUUCUGUUCCACAAGGAUAAUCCAGAAAGCUUUUCUUUUGAAAGAAUUUGAAGAUAACAGUGAUCAAAAACUUUAAAUAUAAAGGGAAAAAUUGAAUCUAAAGGAAUUUUCUGGAAUAAUAUUUCAUUUUGGAGGAUAGAGAAAGAGUGAACUUCAAGAAAACAGUAAUUAGAAUAUACAGGAGGCGAAAAAGCACUUGUGGGAAAGGCUUAAUAAAACAGGGGACAAUCAUAGACACAGUGGAUGCAUUUGGAAAAAUAUUUCUUCAUGGAAGACAGAGGAGGACUGGGCUCCAAGAAACAGCAAUUAGAAUGUGCUGCCUAUGAAAAAGCAACAAUUUGCUCAGAAGAAAGAACAUGAAACUCAAAUGUGAAUACAUUGAAUAAAUUAUGUUUAUAAUUUCAAACUGUGAAAUAUAAAAGAAAAAUAUUUCAUCAUGGAAGACAGAGGAGGACUGGACCCCAAGAAACAGUAAUUAGAAUGUGCUGCCCAUGAAAAAGCAAGAAGUGGGAAAUACUUAAUAUAACAGGCCAAAAGCCGAGACAUAGUAGAUGCCUUUGAUUUUAUGUAGAUGACUUCAAUCUGAACUGUUUCUUAUUACAAGAAUACUUCAUUGUGCAAGAUAGAGGAAAACUGGACUCCAAGAAACAGUAAGUCGAGUGUACAGCUGACGAAAAAUCAACAAGUGGGAAAUACUUAAUAUAACAGGCACAAUUGUAGACACAGUUGAUGCCUUUGUUAAAAAGGAAUGAUAUUUCAUUUUGGCGAAAAGUUAAUUCCAAGAAACCGCUAUCAGAAUGUGCCUCAAGAGAAGAAUCAACAAGUGAUUAAUACUUAAUGCACAAUGGAAUAUAACAAUGGACUUAUACACAGUGGGUGCCUUUGAUAUAAAGAAUUUAAUAACGUAGUGACAACUGCACUUGAUAAUGACCUCGGUUAGAAUAUAUCACUUUAUGCCAGGAAUACAAAAGUUAAUCAACUCCAUCACCGAUGACGAACUUUAUCGAGACUACAAAGAGGAUAUCUUUUUUCGUGAAGGAAUUGAGAAUCGCUGAUAUUUUUGCCAUCAUUUGUGCCAUUCGAGGGAUAUAUUUUAAUCAGUUCUGGAAUUCCAUGGAGGCAUGCUAUGUGAGAAAUAGCACGUGGGUCGAAUAGAGCCCUUUCAUCAUUGCAAAGAAUAGCUAGCAGAAGUGAUGAUAAGGCAAUGGAGAUUCACCAAACUGUUCAACAGAUCUAUUAAUUGACCGAAUAUCUGAUGAAUUUAUUGUAAAGUAUGUAUCUUUGUCCAUGAUUUUUUUUUGUACACUUACUGACCAUCUUCAACAUUUUUAUCAUUCAGGGACUGUGCAUUUUUUAAUAAAGUAAAUUCCUUCCAACAUUUAACACAAAUUUUUGAGCCAUUGACUAUUUAAGGAUAAAAUUCAGGUUCCAUGCUGUGAAAUUUCUAGGCUUUUUCCUGUCUCUAGUAAAGUGCUUUGUUUUCUUUAAUGGAUUGCAGCACUGAAUUCUCAAUAUAUUAAUUUCCAUAUUUGAGAAAACAUGCACAGUGUUAAUGUUUUAAUUACUUGUUAAAAAAUUAACUAGUAACAUUAAGCAUUAAUUUU
Argiope bruennichi is the source of this 1863-nucleotide long non-coding RNA. RefSeq lists it as uncharacterized. NCBI's taxonomy places the organism in Eukaryota, Metazoa, Arthropoda, Arachnida, Araneae, Araneidae. The transcript is spliced from 11 exons. The record is from RefSeq and is a predicted model, not a curated record.